Molecule: ribosomal RNA, 425 nt
Filed under: uncultured bacterium
Lineage: Bacteria
Description: partial 16S ribosomal RNA
Rfam family: Bacterial small subunit ribosomal RNA
Source: RNAcentral
GUGGGGAAUCUUAGACAAUGGGCGCAAGCCUGAUCUAGCCAUGCCGCGUGAGUGAUGAAGGCCCUAGGGUUGUAAAGCUCUUUCAGCUGGGAAGAUAAUGACGGUACCAGCAGAAGAAGCCCCGGCUAACUCCGUGCCAGCAGCCGCGGUAAUACGGAGGGGGCUAGCGUUGUUCGGAAUUACUGGGCGUAAAGCGCGCGUAGGCGGACUGAAAAGUUGGGGGUGAAAUCCCGGGGCUCAACCUCGGAACUGCCUUCAAAACUAUCAGUCUGGAGUUCGAGAGAGGUGAGUGGAAUUCCGAGUGUAGAGGUGAAAUUCGUAGAUAUUCGGAGGAACACCAGUGGCGAAGGCGGCUGACUGGUCCAUUACUGACGCUGAGGUGCGAAAGCGUGGGGAGCAAACAGGAUUAGAAACCCCUGUAGUCC